This 253-nucleotide ribosomal RNA is filed under the name uncultured bacterium. Its description in RNAcentral is "partial 16S ribosomal RNA". It matches the Rfam family "Bacterial small subunit ribosomal RNA", at positions 524 to 776 of the family's 1533-position model. The record is from RNAcentral.
UACGAAGGGUGCAAGCGUUACUCGGAAUUACUGGGCGUAAAGCGUGCGUAGGUGGUUUGUUAAGUCUGCUGUGAAAUCCCCGGGCUCAACCUGGGAAUGGCAGUGGAUACUGGCAAGCUAGAGUGCGGUAGAGGGUAGUGGAAUUCCCGGUGUAGCGGUGAAAUGCGUAGAGAUCGGGAGGAACACCAGUGGCGAAGGUGGCUACCUGGACCAGCACUGACACUCAGGCACGAAAGCGUGGGGAGCAAACAGG